GGUGGCUCAGUGGUAGAGUGCUUGCCUCAAAUGCAGGAAGCCCUGGAUUCGAUUCCUCAGCACCA
Dipodomys ordii (Ord's kangaroo rat) is the source of this 65-nucleotide non-coding RNA. The record is from Rfam. NCBI's taxonomy places the organism in Eukaryota, Metazoa, Chordata, Mammalia, Rodentia, Heteromyidae.